Molecule: ribosomal RNA, 2928 nt
Filed under: Salmonella enterica subsp. enterica serovar Newport
Lineage: Bacteria; Pseudomonadati; Pseudomonadota; Gammaproteobacteria; Enterobacterales; Enterobacteriaceae
Description: 23S ribosomal RNA
Rfam family: Bacterial large subunit ribosomal RNA
Source: RNAcentral
GGGUUGUGAGGUUAAGCGACUAAGCGUACACGGUGGAUGCCCUGGCAGUCAGAGGCGAUGAAGGGCGUGCUAAUCUGCGAUAAGCGCCGGUAAGGUGAUAUGAACCGUUAUAACCGGCGAUACCCGAAUGGGGAAACCCAGUGUGAUUCGUCACACUAUCAUUAACUGAAUCCAUAGGUUAAUGAGGCGAACCGGGGGAACUGAAACAUCUAAGUACCCCGAGGAAAAGAAAUCAACCGAGAUUCCCCCAGUAGCGGCGAGCGAACGGGGAGGAGCCCAGAGCCUGAAUCAGCAUGUGUGUUAGUGGAAGCGUCUGGAAAGGCGCGCGAUACAGGGUGACAGCCCCGUACACAAAAGCGCAUGUGCUGUGAGCUCGAUGAGUAGGGCGGGACACGUGGUAUCCUGUCUGAAUAUGGGGGGACCAUCCUCCAAGGCUAAAUACUCCUGACUGACCGAUAGUGAACCAGUACCGUGAGGGAAAGGCGAAAAGAACCCCGGCGAGGGGAGUGAAAAAGAACCUGAAACCGUGUACGUACAAGCAGUGGGAGCACAGGUUUACCUGUGUGACUGCGUACCUUUUGUAUAAUGGGUCAGCGACUUAUAUUCUGUAGCAAGGUUAACCGUAUAGGGGAGCCGAAGGGAAACCGAGUCUUAACCGGGCGUUAAGUUGCAGGGUAUAGACCCGAAACCCGGUGAUCUAGCCAUGGGCAGGUUGAAGGUUGGGUAACACUAACUGGAGGACCGAACCGACUAAUGUUGAAAAAUUAGCGGAUGACCUGUGGCUGGGGGUGAAAGGCCAAUCAAACCGGGAGAUAGCUGGUUCUCCCCGAAAGCUAUUUAGGUAGCGCCUCGUGAAUUCAUCUCCGGGGGUAGAGCACUGUUUCGGCUAGGGGGCCAUCCCGGCUUACCAACCCGAUGCAAACUGCGAAUACCGGAGAAUGUUAUCACGGGAGACACACGGCGGGUGCUAACGUCCGUCGUGAAGAGGGAAACAACCCAGACCGCCAGCUAAGGUCCCAAAGUCAUGGUUAAGUGGGAAACGAUGUGGGAAGGCCCAGACAGCCAGGAUGUUGGCUUAGAAGCAGCCAUCAUUUAAAGAAAGCGUAAUAGCUCACUGGUCGAGUCGGCCUGCGCGGAAGAUGUAACGGGGCUAAACUAUGCACCGAAGCUGCGGCAGCGACACUAUGUGUUGUUGGGUAGGGGAGCGUUCUGUAAGCCUGUGAAGGUGUGUCGUGAGGCAUGCUGGAGGUAUCAGAAGUGCGAAUGCUGACAUAAGUAACGAUAAAGCGGGUGAAAAGCCCGCUCGCCGGAAGACCAAGGGUUCCUGUCCAACGUUAAUCGGGGCAGGGUGAGUCGACCCCUAAGGCGAGGCCGAAAGGCGUAGUCGAUGGGAAACGGGUUAAUAUUCCCGUACUUGGUGUUACUGCGAAGGGGGGACGGAGAAGGCUAUGUUGGCCGGGCGACGGUUGUCCCGGUUUAAGCGUGUAGGUGUGUGUUCCAGGUAAAUCCGGUUCACUUUAACACUGAGGCGUGAUGACGAGGCACUACGGUGCUGAAGCAACAAAUGCCCUGCUUCCAGGAAAAGCCUCUAAGCAUCAGGUAACAUCAAAUCGUACCCCAAACCGACACAGGUGGUCAGGUAGAGAAUACCAAGGCGCUUGAGAGAACUCGGGUGAAGGAACUAGGCAAAAUGGUGCCGUAACUUCGGGAGAAGGCACGCUGACACGUAGGUGAAGUGAUUUACUCAUGGAGCUGAAGUCAGUCGAAGAUACCAGCUGGCUGCAACUGUUUAUUAAAAACACAGCACUGUGCAAACACGAAAGUGGACGUAUACGGUGUGACGCCUGCCCGGUGCCGGAAGGUUAAUUGAUGGGGUCAGCGCAAGCGAAGCUCCUGAUCGAAGCCCCGGUAAACGGCGGCCGUAACUAUAACGGUCCUAAGGUAGCGAAAUUCCUUGUCGGGUAAGUUCCGACCUGCACGAAUGGCGUAAUGAUGGCCAGGCUGUCUCCACCCGAGACUCAGUGAAAUUGAACUCGCUGUGAAGAUGCAGUGUACCCGCGGCAAGACGGAAAGACCCCGUGAACCUUUACUAUAGCUUGACACUGAACAUUGAGCCUUGAUGUGUAGGAUAGGUGGGAGGCUUUGAAGUGUGGACGCCAGUCUGCAUGGAGCCGACCUUGAAAUACCACCCUUUAAUGUUUGAUGUUCUAACGUGGACCCGUGAUCCGGGUUGCGGACAGUGUCUGGUGGGUAGUUUGACUGGGGCGGUCUCCUCCUAAAGAGUAACGGAGGAGCACGAAGGUUGGCUAAUCCUGGUCGGACAUCAGGAGGUUAGUGCAAUGGCAUAAGCCAGCUUGACUGCGAGCGUGACGGCGCGAGCAGGUGCGAAAGCAGGUCAUAGUGAUCCGGUGGUUCUGAAUGGAAGGGCCAUCGCUCAACGGAUAAAAGGUACUCCGGGGAUAACAGGCUGAUACCGCCCAAGAGUUCAUAUCGACGGCGGUGUUUGGCACCUCGAUGUCGGCUCAUCACAUCCUGGGGCUGAAGUAGGUCCCAAGGGUAUGGCUGUUCGCCAUUUAAAGUGGUACGCGAGCUGGGUUUAGAACGUCGUGAGACAGUUCGGUCCCUAUCUGCCGUGGGCGCUGGAGAACUGAGGGGGGCUGCUCCUAGUACGAGAGGACCGGAGUGGACGCAUCACUGGUGUUCGGGUUGUCAUGCCAAUGGCACUGCCCGGUAGCUAAAUGCGGAAGAGAUAAGUGCUGAAAGCAUCUAAGCACGAAACUUGCCCCGAGAUGAGUUCUCCCUGAGACUUAAAGUCUCCUGAAGGAACGUUGAAGACGACGACGUUGAUAGGCCGGGUGUGUAAGCGCAGCGAUGCGUUGAGCUAACCGGUACUAAUGAACCGUGAGGCUUAACCUUACAACGCCGAAG